GACGAACGCUGGCGGCGUGCCUAAUACAUGCAAGUCGAACGCUUCUUUCCUCCCGAGUGCUUGCACUCAAUUGGAGAGAGGAGUGGCGGACGGGUGAGUAACACGUGGGUAACCUACCCAUCAGAGGGGGAUAACACUUGGAAACAGGUGCUAAUACCGCAUAACAGUUUAUGCCGCAUGGCAUAAGAGUGAAAGGCGCUUUCGGGUGUCGUUGAUGGAUGGACCCGCGGUGCAUUAGCUAGUUGGUGAGGUAACGGCUCACCAAGGCCACGAUGCAUAGCCGACCUGAGAGGGUGAUCGGCCACACUGGGACUGAGACACGGCCCAGACUCCUACGGGAGGCAGCAGUAGGGAAUCUUCGGCAAUGGACGAAAGUCUGACCGAGCAACGCCGCGUGAGUGAAGAAGGUUUUCGGAUCGUAAAACUCUGUUGUUAGAGAAGAACAAGGACGUUAGUAACUGAACGUCCCCUGACGGUAUCUAACCAGAAAGCCACGGCUAACUACGUG
Molecule: ribosomal RNA, 508 nt
Filed under: uncultured bacterium
Lineage: Bacteria
Description: partial 16S ribosomal RNA
Rfam family: Bacterial small subunit ribosomal RNA
Source: RNAcentral